This 253-nucleotide ribosomal RNA is filed under the name uncultured bacterium. Its description in RNAcentral is "partial 16S ribosomal RNA". It matches the Rfam family "Bacterial small subunit ribosomal RNA", at positions 524 to 776 of the family's 1533-position model. The record is from RNAcentral.
AACGUAGGAGACAAACGUUAUCCGGAGUUACUGGGCGUAAAGGGCGUGUAGGUGGUUUCGUAAGUCUGGCGUGAAAUUUUUCGGCUUAACCGGGAAAGGUCGUCGGAUACUGCGGAGCUAGAGGACGGUAGAGGCGUGUGGAAUUCCGGGUGUAGUGGUGAAAUGCGUAGAGAUCCGGAGGAACACCAAAGGCGCAGGCAGUGUCCUGGGAAGUACCUGACGCUCAGGGACGAAAGCUAGGGGAGCGAACGGG